GACGAGCACAUCGGGAGUUGUCGCGUUAUUUUUUAGAUUAUUCUAUAUCUAUUAUUCUAUAUAUUUAUCGUGUUGAUUUUUAAUACCGCGUUUCUACUUCGCAACAAUUGAAGCGAUAAUUAAGAGAAAUUAAGACACGUACUCCUCACGCGAGCAGGUGUUGCGGGCUUUACCGCGACAGAGAUCCAAUAGAGCAGACGCCAGUCACGCGGCUCUAGGAGUUGCAAUGAUUGGGAGAUGUUGCGCCGGGUGUUUCGGCUCGGGCCUGAUUUUGUCGAUAAAAGUGAAGAGACGAAAACUCGACUCUAAGCGGAUGCUGCGCCGGAGGAUCUGGCUCGGGCCGAGCG
Odontomachus brunneus is the source of this 347-nucleotide long non-coding RNA. RefSeq lists it as uncharacterized. The transcript has 3 exons. The record is from RefSeq and is a predicted model, not a curated record. Lineage: Eukaryota; Metazoa; Arthropoda; Insecta; Hymenoptera; Formicidae.